UACGGAGGGUGCAAGCGUUAUCCGGAUUUACUGGGUUUAAAGGGUGCGUAGGUGGACAGGAAAGUCAGUGGUGAAAUCUUCGAGCUUAACUCGGAAACUGCCAUUGAUACUAUUUGUCUUGAAUACUUUGGAGGUAAGCGGAAUAUGUCAUGUAGCGGUGAAAUGCUUAGAUAUGACAUAGAACACCAAUUGCGAAGGCAGCUUACUAAAGUAUAACUGACGCUGAGGCACGAAAGUGCGGGGAUCAAACAGG
This 253-nucleotide ribosomal RNA is filed under the name uncultured bacterium. RNAcentral's name for it is "partial 16S ribosomal RNA". It matches the Rfam family "Bacterial small subunit ribosomal RNA", at positions 524 to 776 of the family's 1533-position model. The record is from RNAcentral.